CCACCGCCGCGCUGCUGGUGCUGGGCGCGCUGCUGCUGCUGGCGCUGGAGUGGGGGAACGCCGGGACGCUCGGGCCGCUCGGGGUGGG
This 88-nucleotide transfer RNA is filed under the name Deinococcus knuensis. RNAcentral's name for it is "tRNA-Ser". Lineage: Bacteria; Thermotogati; Deinococcota; Deinococci; Deinococcales; Deinococcaceae. The record is from RNAcentral.